Molecule: ribosomal RNA, 466 nt
Filed under: uncultured bacterium
Lineage: Bacteria
Description: partial 16S ribosomal RNA
Rfam family: Bacterial small subunit ribosomal RNA
Source: RNAcentral
GACGAACGCUGGCGGCGUGCUUAACACAUGCAAGUCGAACGGAAAGGCCCUGCUUGCAGGGUACUCGAGUGGCGAACGGGUGAGUAACACGUGGGUGAUCUGCCCUGCACUUCGGGAUAAGCUUGGGAAACUGGGUCUAAUACCGGAUAGGAGCCAUCUUUAGUGUGGUGGUUGGAAAGUUUUUUCGGUGUAGGAUGAGCUCGCGGCCUAUCAGCUUGUUGGUGGGGUAAUGGCCUACCAAGGCGGCGACGGGUAGCCGGCCUGAGAGGGUGUACGGCCACAUUGGGACUGAGAUACGGCCCAGACUCCUACGGGAGGCAGCAGUGGGGAAUAUUGCACAAUGGGCGCAAGCCUGAUGCAGCGACGCCGCGUGGGGGAUGAAGGCCUUCGGGUUGUAAACUCCUUUCGCUAGGGACGAAGCUUUGUUGUGACGGUACCUAGAUAAGAAGCGCCGGCUAACUACGUG